UAUAAUUGUUUCAUCCUAAAUAAAAAACUUCAUUUACCUGCUUUAUAUAGUGAGGAUGUACAUAAGAGUUAGACUGAAGUGAUUCAAUUGUACCAAUGUGAGUUGAGUCUGUGCCACAUACCAGGCUCUGGAACUCGGCCAUGAACAAACAGACAUCAGGCCCUGCUCUUAUGAAGCUUAGAUUCUAGUGCAAUAACUGGAGAGAAAUAAACUGAAUGGAACAUCAGAUGGUGAUGAAAGUGAAAGCGUUAGUCACUUAGUCGUGUCCAACUCUUUGUGACCCCAUGGACUGUAGGCCGCCAGGUUCCUCUGUCCAUGGGAUUCUCUAGGCAAGAAUACUCCAGUGGGUUGCCAUUUCCUCCUUCAGGGGAUCUUCCUGACCCAGGGAUCAAACCCAGGUCUUCCGCAUUGCAGGCAGAAGCUUUAUCAUCUGAACCACCUGCUAUGAAAAAGCCCAGCAGACUGAGAGAGGAGCUGGAGGAGGGGAGCGGAGGGAGACACGGAGCAGGCCGUGAGGCGUGAGGCGAGCGCGGAAAGUGCAGGUGAAAUUUGACAUUUUCAUCUUUAUGUGAAGUUUUGGUAUUUUGCUCAUCGUGGACUUUUUGCAUCAUUUUUUUAUUUUUGAAAAAAUCAGUACUUAGUUCCCCAGUCACCUGGCGCCCUUUAACAUCUUGCGUUGGUCCCACCCUGGUUUCAGCCCCGGAAGCGGAGUCCGAGUAAAUGGGGUCACGGUCACUGAGGAGGGCUCUGGGUGCUGGCCAGGUCUUCAGAAUGUCCUCCGUGGUCUGUGGAGCGGCCACUGCAGGGUCUGGAGCAAACAGACGGGAGCAGACUGGAGAAGGUCAGCGGUGCAAGCACACUUUGCCGAAAGGGGAAGAUGUGUGACCCCUGAAAAGGCGGAGGACUGGAUGGACACCCUGUCUGAACAGGAAGCCGGAAUCCAGGCCCUUUCUUGUUGAAGAGCAUCUGGUCUACACGGAAGAGACUGUGAUCCCUCUGCCAAACGCCUGAGCCGGUGACUGUUGCUACCUCAGGGGUCAGCUUGUUUGACUGUGGUGGUUAUCAUCUGUCUCUAGCCGGCAUCACUCUCUGACCACUCUUGUGCACUUGUCCUUCCGCCCGGCCGAACUUCACUCCUAGGAUGUUUCUGCCGUGCUCCUCCCUGGGGUGCUGACUGAGGUGCUGCCUGCUGCUGCUGGGACGGCUCGACCAUGACUUUCUGGGCCGUCGCCUCCCUGGGGCUCAAGGAAACCCUUCCAGGAUCAGUGCCCAGACUGAAGUCACUAGAGAGAGCCAUACUCCAGGUCCGGACAGUGCUUUUCCUCCCUGCUCUGACUCCCUCUUUCUGGGAGCAGAGGUGUGUCGGAGGCGUGACAGCAGCAGCCCGAGUGGCUGGCACCCGGGGAGUGAACGUGGAGAGGAGCUGGGAAGGUAGACAAGAAGUGGAUCGGGAAGGGUGCGUGAUGCCUGAAGGAGUGCGAACUUCAUCCAGGGUCCGAGCAGGGCUCCCUGGGCCGUCCUGCCGGGGCUGUCUGCUCAGAGCCCCCUCCCGCUCCUCAGUGCUCCCCAAACGCUUGGACAGGGAGUUGCUUUGGUGACUCCUCCUCCCUCCCGCCUGGGGCUAACUCCCAGCUGUCAAGUCAGCUCGUGCGGACCUCCAGACCAUAACUGCCUGGUCCUGUCAUCACAGUGUCACGAACCUCUCUCCACACUGGCAGUUCUGAGGCUUAAGUGUGUUGCCAGCACACAGAAGGUGCUCUAUAAAUGGCCAAAGAAGCCCAUCUUUUUUUUUUUUUAAUUCAGUCCAGUUCAGUCACUCAGUCGUGUCCGACUCUCCGCGACCCCAUGAAUCACAGCACGCCAGGCCUCCCUGUCCAUCACCAACUCCCGGAGUUCACUCAGACUCACGUCCAUCGAGUUGGUGAUGCCAUCCAGCCAUCUCAUCCUCUGUCGUCCCUUUCUCCUCCUGCCCCAAACCCCUCCCAGCAUCAGUUUUUUAAAUUAAUGAAUUCGUUUACGGCUGCACCCUGCCCUAGUUGUGGCUCUCUGGGUCUUCUGCGGCAGUGGGUGGGCUUCUCUCUCAGUGAGGCACCUGGACUCAGCCUCUGUGAAUUGUUACCCUGUGGCACGUGGACUCACUUCCCCACCCAGGGAUCAAACCCACACCCUCUGCCCUGGAGGCAGCUUCCCAACCGCUGGACCCUCAGGGAAGUCCCAACCCACCAUUUUUUUCAGAAACCUUUAACUCUUAUAAAGCCCAGCACACUAAGUGAAGGUGCCUUGUAACAACUCUUCUGGGUGUCUUUGAUUUUUAAAUAGAGGCAUCAUUUGGCUUUAAUAACCAGACGUUCAGGAACGGCACAUCCAGCUGACCCAGGACGCAACAGCAGCCCUGACUAGCGCACUCCCCGGGGUCAAGCACAGGGACGCGCCCGGGCCCUUCUCACAGCUGCUUCCUCUGGACUCCGGGGUCCUGCACUCGCGCGUGAUUGCAUUUGACUCAGGGUUCACAUACAGCGGGACUUAAGGCCCAAGGUUGGAACUGGGGUCCCGGUGCGGGUAGCUGAGUAUUGAUUUGAGGCGGAUUCGACUUUCUGCCAACAGCCUGGCUUUCCUCAGCCGGGAGUACCCUGAGGCUGGACAAAGUGCUGCCGGAAGGGAAC
Molecule: long non-coding RNA, 2663 nt
Organism: Bos taurus (domestic cattle)
Lineage: Eukaryota; Metazoa; Chordata; Mammalia; Artiodactyla; Bovidae
Source: Ensembl